AGAGCGAGCUCCACUCCUCCAUCUGUUCGCCGGGGUCCUCGCUCCCCUGCCGGGGCCGGCGAGACGGCGUGAGGCCGGAGGGGGAUUUGCAAGGAAACCUGCCUGCUUCCCGCUCCCAUUGCUCCAUCCCCGCUGCCUCCUGCCUCCUGCUUCUCUCCUGCGUCUUUCCAACUCUCCCCUGUCGCCACUGGUGUGUGUCUGAGUGUGUGCGCGGUUUUUUUUUUUUAAUUGCUCUUUGCUUUUGCAACCCUGAAGCAAAAGGGGGGGGGGGUAGUUACAGGGAAAAAAAAAGCGAGAAAGAAGCUCUUAGAUUUGCAACACAUCGGAAAACCGGGGGAGCACCCCGCCUUAUCCGAUCUCCAUGCUCCGCAAGGGCCUUCCGGGUUUUAGGACAAGCUUCUCAAUGUCCCGUUUCGCUGGGUUUAGGAUCCGAGGAGUCCGAGCAAAAAGUUCUCCCCCUGGGUCGUAGUGACGGGUGUCGGGGUGGGAGUUGCGGGGAUUUUUCAAGAAGCAGCAGCUACCCCGGCGUCGGUCACUGGGCCGGGGUAGGGGAAAGAGCAAAAUCCCAGUGGGUUUGCGCGAGGGAUCUUCUAGGGUCGAGGCGGGUGUGGGGGGAGUUGGAACCGGGAGACACCGCUUGGCGCAUCUCUCCCUCGGUCUCUACCUCCUGUCCUAUGCCAGCUCCCCCUUUAAUUUUUUUCCUCUCCUUUAAUCUAAUUUCUUCCAACUCCACCUUUGUUGUUACCGGCGUCACACCCGGACCAGCCAAUCCCCGCCACGCAAUCAGCUUGUCAAAAAGCCUCGGCCAUCCCUAGGAAAGCAGGCCGCAGGCGCUGCCCCCCGGCGGCGGCGGGCAGCCGCGAGGGGAGCCCAGCACCCGGUUCUCGCUGCCCCGGGUGGCAGCGGGGCAGCCUCCGACAAGACGUCCCUUGGUUCACUGUCCUGCAGGCCGGGGAUGAAAGGCCUGGACAGGGUCCACCACCCACUCUCCCACUGCCACGGCCGUGGUUGACUGUCUUUGCCUCCCCUUUUCAGAGGAAAGGUUAUCAGGACAGGACGCAGGGAGCCAGAAGACCAUCUGAAGGAAGCCUGCUUCCAACGGGCCCAGCCUCCAGCCACCGCUCCUGGGGCAGCGCCAUUGCUCCUGGCUCUCAGGCUGCCAGUCUCCCACACCGACGCUCUACUGCCCGCAUCUCGGCCAGCUGGGUCACCCAGCCCCUUUCGACUCUCCCCUGGCACGCAGCCUUCUCCUUCACUCGGCCUGCCUCGCUGCUGCUGUAAUUCCUCUUGUCUCCUGGGAGAAAUGAGAUUGCUUUCCCAGGACUUCCACAUCCCACUUCUAUCAGGUUUCACCAACAGGGAGGAAGCCCUGUCAAGAUCUGGUGUGUCCUGUUUUUUUUUUUUUUUUUUCCCAGAGGGCACUGGCAUGUAGGAGAAGCGGAUUUACCACUAGUAGAUGUUAAUGAAAUUUCAGCUUCUAGGCCCCUAACUUGCAGGACCUGCCCAAGGCCCUGAACUUAAUUUUGUUUUCAUCAUUUGGUAUUUUUUUGUUAAAAGAGCCACCGACCACCUCCCCGCUACCCCAGAACUGCACGUGUUUCUGGCCCUACAAACCCAGAUCGUCCCUUGGAAUAUACACAGGGCAAUUUGUGUAGGAUCACACUGCGCUAAAAGUGAGGCAUGGUGGGCUAGGCGCACUGGCUCACACCUGUAAUCCCAGCACUUUGGGAGACCAAGACAGGAGGUCUUAAGUGAUUAAGCCCAGGAGUUCGAGAUCAGCUUAGACAACAUAGCAAGAUGCUGCCUCUACAAACACACACACCCCCUAUUAUAAUAUGUCAAAAAAAAAAAAAAAAAAAGGAAAAGUGAGGCAUAGAACUGACUUUAUUGUUUUGACUAGGAAAGAGCAAAGGGUUUGGAAUCAAAAGUCCCAACUUCCCCACCUUCUUAAUAGUGUGUGAAUCUGAGUGCCUUAUUAACCUUCCCUGGUCCCAGUUUCGUAUCUGUAAAGUUAGAAUAGCAAUCCUGUUUAAUUUGCUUCUCUCACCAGGGAUCAGAAGGCCAAAUGAGAUGAUGUAUGUAAAAUUGUAAAGUCCUCCACAGAUGGCACUUGCCACAUUACAGAGAACUUGAGACCCCCCCCCACCAAUAACGUUCCAAAUCUUCCACAUGCAGAUCUGGAGUCCAGGUGUCCUGGCUCCUGGCCCUGAACUUUUUGGCUGGGCCAAGGGGCUUUUCGGUAAAGUGCUUUGGAAUAAAACAGGAUGAACAU
This 2272-nucleotide long non-coding RNA is filed under the name Homo sapiens (human). RNAcentral describes it as "HSALNT0390020". The record is from RNAcentral. Lineage: Eukaryota; Metazoa; Chordata; Mammalia; Primates; Hominidae.